RNAcentral lists this ribosomal RNA (468 nucleotides) under uncultured bacterium. RNAcentral describes it as "partial 16S ribosomal RNA". It matches the Rfam family "Bacterial small subunit ribosomal RNA", at positions 28 to 507 of the family's 1533-position model. The record is from RNAcentral.
GACGAACGCUGGCGGCGUGCUUAACACAUGCAAGUCGAACGGAAAGGCCCUGCUUUUGUGGGGUGCUCGAGUGGCGAACGGGUGAGUAACACGUGAGUAACCUGCCCUUGACUUUGGGAUAACUUCAGGAAACUGGGGCUAAUACCGGAUAGGAGCUCCUGCUGCAUGGUGGGGGUUGGAAAGUUUCGGCGGUUGGGGAUGGACUCGCGGCUUAUCAGCUUGUGGGUGGGGUAGUGGCUUACCAAGGCUUUGACGGGUAGCCGGCCUGGGAGGGUGACCGGCCACAUUGGGACUGCGAUACGGCCCAGACUCCUACGGGGGGCAGCAGUGGGGAAUAUUGCCCAAUGGGCGGAAGCCUGAUGCAGCAGCGCCGCGUGCGGGAUGACGGCCUUCGGGUUGUAAACCGCUUUCGCCUGUGACGAAGCGUGAGUGACGGUAAUGGGUAAAGAAGCACCGGCUAACUACGUG